This 2668-nucleotide long non-coding RNA is filed under the name Venturia canescens. RNAcentral's name for it is "uncharacterized LOC122414363". The record is from RNAcentral. Lineage: Eukaryota; Metazoa; Arthropoda; Insecta; Hymenoptera; Ichneumonidae.
GGUCGUUACACCGUUACCUGUUAAAUUAUCCUGGGCUAUUUCGGGCAGUUGGUUCUCCAGUCCUUCCAAAACUGGAUCCACCUGAAAUAUUAAUGGUAACAGCACAAUUAUUACAGCUUCCAUAUCAAGUACGAAUCCUUAAAUGAGUUGUCACAAAGUAAGGCGAAGAGCAUAAACGGGAUUGUUCGAUGGCGAGGUUAACGACCAGAAGAUCCACACCAGGGUUAUAAAAGCAAAAUAUGCCGUAACCAUUGGCGAGUAUCCAGGAGUAGUCGCCGAGUCUUUCUACACCUUGGUCGUGAGUCCAGAGGAGGUAAUAAUUUGAAGCGCAACUCCCGUUGAUCAUAUUAUCGUCAAAUAAGUCAAGAACGCGUUGUUACAUAGGAGCAGCGAGAGCGCGUGUGACAUCAGCGAAGCACAAAAAUUUGCAUUUAAUCUUGGCAAAGUUCUCUCGCCUCGCGUAACCGAGAGUAAAAGUCUGUACAGUAGCGAUUAAUCGAGAGAGAAAAAUGAAUUAAGAAAAAACAAAAAAACAACAUCAAAGGAUCACGAUCCGUGCGCGAUUGAGAUAUAUUCGCUUACGUUUGUUUAUAUUCUUGCAUAUGUACAUGGUUCUAUUCACGUGACGCAUUGCCUCUCACGGACCUUCGAUUCAAAUGCAUAUGUGCGUAAAUCUCAUGGCCACGAAGGUUUACUACGAAUUUAUGCAAUUAUCAUUUGACGUAACUCCGCUUCCGUGUGUGUUAAUAUUGACUCUGCAUCGAUAUUCUGAUACGUUUUUUUUAAAAAACGAUUGAAAGGAUCGAACCGUAAGGAGGAAAUAAGACCGUUAUUUCGGAGUACCGGAAAAAACGUUGAAAAAUCAGCAUACCUCGGGAUCGAUCUACCUUCACCGAUCGCGGUAUCGUUGACAGCCAUGACCGAGAUGUGACCCCCGCUGGUAACAAAACCGGUGCGCACUCUCCGAAAAAAAAUCUCCCCGAGAGGAUGAAUUUUUCUUCCCGAGCGAUAAUCCAACCGGAAAGGGAUUUUAAAAUACUUCACAACGAGACGUCGUCGCACUCGAGACAAAUCGGCAAAUGCAAUCACUCGGGGACCAACGUGGACCGGGAUGCUGGCAAAGAAAAAAUCGACGCUCCGUUUCACCCCCCGAAGAGAUGUCGGGGGAGAGCAGACCGGAGAGCGAUACUGGAGCGUUUUUCAGCGCACGCACACUCGAGGAUUCGACGAGACUGUGGAUUCUGAGGUCCGGUCUCCGCGUCACCCGGUACCGCGGCAGUUGAGACCGAGAGCGAGAGCGAGAGAGAGAGAGAGAGAGAGAAAGACCGGACCGCUCGCGAGACGCCCCUUCCUCCAUCCGAAGAGCGUAUUCCCCCUCUUUUGCACCCUUGCCUAACGACAGCGAGAAUAUUCGAUAUAUACAUGUAUACCUACAACAGACCAGGAGAGAAAAGUUUGUCGGAUGCUGCAUCGAGAGAGCGUGCAAAAGAUUAAGAGACUCGCUCUGUAGGGGUCAGCUUGAGCUCGUCAAGCUCCGUAUACAAAAAAUAUCUUGAAACCAGCCAAAUUUGGAGCAAAAAAAUUACUCCAAAUUCGGGUGGCUUACUUUCCGAUGAAUCUGGACCGUUGGUCAAACGCGAUGUACCAUUAAUACUAUUAUAGGAAAAGGGAUAAAAUCCCAUGGCAAAAAAUAUGACGAGAGAAAAUUUAAGGGCCGGGGACAUAUCCGCACUGCUUUGUGUUUUAUUCAUGCAUGGCUUUUUGGCUCAAGGCCCCAAAAACGUCGAUCCACAAUGGGAGAAGGUCAGGUAGUAGAGAGACUGAAAAAGGAGCAACGAAAAAUAAAAAGAAUGAGAAUUCUUGGGACGGCUCUUCUACCUACAGUCUCAGACCUUCGCUGGUGGGGGGUCGACCUAUAGUCGGAACAUGACCUUAGGGCCACUUCUCCCAGUUUUUCUCAACUUCCGUUGUGACGCAGAAUAAAAUGACAGUGGUAAAAUAACAGGGACGAAGGAAGCAGUCCCCUGAAUCUACCCGCAUCUUCUGGAUAUACGUUUCCGCGCGUGAAUUAUUCCUCUGAUAUUCAACGUUCAAUAAUAGCUCGAGAGAACAGAAAGUGCGAGCUAGGAGUGUUUCUUAUCGAGUUUUUGCCAAAAAUGAUGGAUGUUCGAAUAAUCCGAUCGGAAGGCGCACUUUGGGGCGGAGUAAAAAUACAUAUAGAUCCACUUGUUCCUAUUGAACAGCACACAGUCCGAUUGGAAAUUGAAUCAACUCAUUUACAAUCGUGUUGGCGAACCUUGAAAAAAAGUAAUAAGAUGAAAUAUUAUGAAUUAACGAUAUUUAGAGAAAAAAAAAGAGGAGCAGAAAUGAUUCUUAGAUCGAAAGUCAUUGAGCGAAGUAUGAAUAAACAAGAUCGUUAUUAUUCUGUUAAAUCGAUUAUCGACUUUUCCGGUUAAUAGCCGUUGAAUGAAUGAAAAACAGACGGAUACCUGCAUUUCCUUUUUUGAUCCAAGAUUCUCGUCGGAACGAGUCUGAAAAGUAGAUUUUCUCAAUGAACUCAUACAAGAUAUACAAAAGGAAUUUGUCGUGGGUGGACUCGUUCCUCUCGUCUUCGCGGAGAUCUGGGUCCAUGGCAGGCUCUCAAUUUUACAUCCGAUUUACCAAAGAU